GAAGAAAAUAAAAUCAAUUACAAUAAACGCAUUCUGGAUUUAAGGAGGUAUAAUGCAAUACCCUUUUCUUUUAGAGAUGGCACUAACCUUUCAGCUUCACCACUAGGCAUUAUAGCUGGACCAGAAGAGAGACCAGUUCCAACAACAAGAACUUGUUCAUUUCCGGCUUUUACCAACUCCAUGCAUUUUCCUAUCUCACCAAGCUCAAACUUAAAGGAUGAC
RNAcentral lists this unclassified non-coding RNA (222 nucleotides) under Hevea brasiliensis (rubber tree). Lineage: Eukaryota; Viridiplantae; Streptophyta; Magnoliopsida; Malpighiales; Euphorbiaceae. The record is from RNAcentral.